UUGGAAGGCAAUAGUUUGGCGAGUCAUCCAGAUAGACCAAGUCAUUGGCAGUAGGCACGGAAAAUCUUGGAUCGCGCAUCGACAAGCGACCCCGCCGAUUGACCUUGACCUCAGUUGCACCGUCAUAUUUGUCCAACAGAAAAUCGCCUGAAAAUAUUAAUUAUAUAAUGCUAUUUAUACAGAUAUUUUUGUGGUCGCAAAAAAUAUCGUAAGAUGGUGAUAAGAAGCGUUAAUCGCACGCAUCGAGACUUACCGAUCUCGCGAAACGAUGUGAGUUGCUGCCAGCAAGUAAUCAGACUGCAGCUUCCGGAAACGCCAUGACAUUUGCACGUCACCUUGGACCUUUUGAUGACGGCCUGCAGAUGAACGACAUAUUAGUUUCGUGACACGGCGGCUUUAGUUGAGCGAAUUCGUGUUAAAAUUGCGAAAAAUCGAUAAGAGCACCUUCGUGCAUUUAACGAUGCGACAUUUAAGAGACAUUUCUCACACGUGUAGGCUAAGAAAAGAACGAACUUUACCCUGCGACCGGCUUCAUUAUUGUGUAAAUUCAUCAAGCUUCUGCCCUGUUCCCGGCUGCCUUUCUUAAAGCUACCUUCGCGCUCUCGCACGUCAACGAAUGAUUGCGUGAAUCUGAAACACAUGGACGACACAUUUGUCGUUUACUUUUGAUAUUAUUCGAGUAUUCCACGCAAAAAUUAAAGCCGUACUCGAGAUUAUCCCCGCAUCCGCCCCAGAUCCAAUCGCGAUUCAAAUCUCUGGGCCUGCUACUCCUGGAACAGCCACAUGACGAUAGUUGACCAUCUCGGCAAGAGCGACUGAUGGAGUAAACUACACCAGCAGCGGUGAUGGCGUGAACAAAUGCAGUUUCCCUACUCGCUUAUCGGCCCAAACACGUUCUCGUCGUGAACGGUGGAACAAUUCCACCUUCUGUCUCUGAACUGAUGCUGACACUCUGCGAUGCCGUAUUUUGCACCUUUGGUCACGCUGGACAUGUGAUCCACGG
Camponotus floridanus (Florida carpenter ant) is the source of this 1003-nucleotide long non-coding RNA. RefSeq lists it as uncharacterized. The transcript is spliced from 4 exons. The record is from RefSeq and is a predicted model, not a curated record. Lineage: Eukaryota; Metazoa; Arthropoda; Insecta; Hymenoptera; Formicidae.